This 103-nucleotide ribosomal RNA is filed under the name Hucho hucho (huchen). Lineage: Eukaryota; Metazoa; Chordata; Actinopteri; Salmoniformes; Salmonidae. The record is from RNAcentral.
GCCAGCAGCAUACCACCCUGCAUACCACUGCUGGCUUGCUUCAGAAGCUAAGAAGGGGUUGGUUCUGGUCAGUCACUGAAUGGGAGACCAGAUGCUGCUGGAA